Molecule: long non-coding RNA, 108 nt
Organism: Sinocyclocheilus anshuiensis
Lineage: Eukaryota; Metazoa; Chordata; Actinopteri; Cypriniformes; Cyprinidae
Exons: 3
Source: RefSeq, a predicted model, not a curated record
UAUUUUUGCUAGAAAAAGAGGAGGAGAAAUAACAAGCAAGUGUCUCAGAGCUGGCAAAAGCUUUGAAAAGAGUGACUGUUUAUCUCACAUAGUAAGAUGCAGCCUGUA